RNAcentral lists this ribosomal RNA (492 nucleotides) under uncultured bacterium. RNAcentral describes it as "partial 16S ribosomal RNA". It matches the Rfam family "Bacterial small subunit ribosomal RNA", at positions 29 to 507 of the family's 1533-position model. The record is from RNAcentral.
AGUGAACGCUGGCGGUAGGCCUAACACAUGCAAGUCGAACGGCAGCACAGUAAUAGCUUGCUCUUACGGGUGGCGAGUGGCGGACGGGUGAGGAAUACAUCGGAAUCUACUUUUUCGUGGGGGUUAACGUAGGGAAACUUACGCUAAUACCGCAUCCGACCUACGGUUGAAAGCAGGGGAUCUUCGGACCUUGCGCGAUUGAAUGAGCCGAUGUCGGAUUAGCUAGUUGGCGGGGUAAAGGCCCACCAAGUCGACGAUCCGUAGCUGGUCUGAGAGGAUGAUAAGCCACACUGGAACUGAGACACGGUCCAGAGUCCUACGGGAGGCAGCAGUGGGGAAUAUUGGACAAUGGGCGGAAGCCUGAUCCAGCCAUACCGCGUGGGUGAAGAAGGCCUUCGGGUUGUAAAGCCCUUUUGUUGGGAAAGAAACGCAGCAGGUUAAUACCCCGCUGUUCUGACGGUACCCAAAGAAUAAGCACCGGCUAACUUCGUG